GGGCCGCUAGCUCAUCAGGUAGAGCACAUCCCUUUUAAGGAUGGGGUAGAAGGUUCGAGUCCUUCGCGGCUCA
Molecule: transfer RNA, 73 nt
Filed under: Candidatus Omnitrophota bacterium
Lineage: Bacteria; Pseudomonadati; Candidatus Omnitrophota
Description: tRNA-Lys
Rfam family: tRNA
About the family: Transfer RNA (tRNA) molecules are approximately 80 nucleotides in length. Their secondary structure includes four short double-helical elements and three loops (D, anti-codon, and T loops).
Source: RNAcentral